GGGCCCGCACAAGCGGUGGAGCAUGUGGUUUAAUUCGACGCAACGCGAAGAACCUUACCAGCUCUUGACAUUGCUAAGUCGCGAGUUUUAGAGAUAAAACUCUUCAGUUCGGCUGGACUUAGUACAGGUGCUGCAUGGCUGUCGUCAGCUCGUGUCGUGAGAUGUUGGUUAAGUCCCGCAACGAGCGCAACCCUUGUCCUUAGUUGCCAGCAAUUCGGUUGGGCACUCUAGGGAGACUGCCGGUGAUAAACCGGAGGAAGGCGGGGAUGACGUCAAGUCCUCAUGGCCCUUACGGGCUGGGCUACACACGUGCUACAAUGGCGUCCACAAUGGGUCGCAAUAGGGUAACCUAAAG
This 355-nucleotide ribosomal RNA is filed under the name uncultured bacterium. Its description in RNAcentral is "bacterial SSU rRNA". It matches the Rfam family "Bacterial small subunit ribosomal RNA", at positions 917 to 1267 of the family's 1533-position model. The record is from RNAcentral.